AGAAUCAACGCUGGCGGCGUGCCUAACACAUGCAAGUCGAACGAGAAAGUGGAGCAAUCCAUGAGUAAAGUGGCGCACGGGUGAGUAACACGUGACUAACCUACCCUUGAGUGGGGGAUAACCUAGAGAAAUCUGGGCUAAUACCGCAUAAUACCUUCGGGUCAAAGGAGCAAUUCGCUUAAGGAGGGGUCGCAGCCGAUUAGUUAGUUGGCGGGGUAAUGGCCCACCAAGACUAUGAUCGGUAUCCGGCCUGAGAGGGCGCACGGACACACUGGAACUGAAACACGGUCCAGACUCCUACGGGAGGCAGCAGUGGGAAUCUUGCGCAAUGGGCGAAAGCCUGACGCAGCGACGCCGCGUGAGGGAAGAAGGCCUUCGGGUUGUAAACCUCUUUCAGGAGGGACGAAGCCACUCGGGUUAAUAGCCCAGAGGGUGACGGUACCUCCAGAAGAAGCCCCGGCUAACUACGCGCCAGCAGCCGC
Molecule: ribosomal RNA, 482 nt
Filed under: uncultured bacterium
Lineage: Bacteria
Description: SSU rRNA
Rfam family: Bacterial small subunit ribosomal RNA
Source: RNAcentral